RNAcentral lists this unclassified non-coding RNA (697 nucleotides) under Hevea brasiliensis (rubber tree). The record is from RNAcentral. Lineage: Eukaryota; Viridiplantae; Streptophyta; Magnoliopsida; Malpighiales; Euphorbiaceae.
AUUCUAAUUUUCACAUGCACUAUCUUAAAACACUGAAAAUCAACCAAAGGAAACAAGAAUUACAAAAAGAAGAUUUGUGAAAAGCAAUCCAACGAAAAAGAUAAGAAAAGAAAAAAUAGAGGAAUCAAAAUUAAUCAGGUUUGAAACUACAUUCCAUUUGUGUAAUUCCUCCUACUCAUUUCAUCAUACAACAUCUCUUUCUCUUACUUUUUUGUGGAGACUAGCAACUCCAUGCCCCAAUGUCACAGGCUCACAAUAACCUGCAUUGCCUUCCGACGCAUAAACAUUUUUCCCCCUUCAAUCUCCAAAUAGCCACUGAACUUUCUCUUGCAUGGACUGCCUUCGUCCCUCUCAACUUCUGUGUGUAAAUUUAUUUACACCUUAAUCAAAACCGGAUUCUGCUUUUGGAAAAAUCUAGCAGAAUUUAUUUACAAAGAAAAAUAAAACCUUGACUAGUUAAUGAGUACAUACCCUUGUUAAAAAAAAAAAGUUAUAGUGGUAAUGGGUUCUAGGGUUCUCAGACUAUGGUCUAAACCAAAGCGAGCAUAGUUGACAAAAGAGAUGUUGAUGGUAUGGAUAUCAAAUGGACUGGAAACAAAGCAUUGGGUUAGUUAGUUGGGGGUGUGACAACGAGGCUUCAUGGCUUGCAAGGAAUGGAUGAAAAGUCAUAAGUUUCAAGGAAUUGAAGAUGGGAAAU